UUACUGGGGUGGGGAGGCGGCGGGGCAACAACAAAAGAGGGAGGAAUGGUGGUGCUAUGGUGGGAGAAGGGUAAAUGGCGGAAGAAAGUUGGUGAAAAUUUUGAGUCCUUCAUGAUUUGAAGCUUCGCAUCUUUGAAAAUUUCACCGAAGGUUUUCAAACAACACCUAGACUCAAAGUUGGCUUUGUUUUCUUACAUAUCGUAAGUAAAUCUGCAACAAAAUUAAACCAAAACAAACCCGGAGUUUAAUUAGAUGCAAGUGGAACAAGGUUUGAGGGCAAAUAGCAUUAAAGAAAUAUCUAGCAAAGCCCAAAGAGAGAAUUGAAGAAAAUUGGUAUUUUUGGAGCAGAAAUUCAACUGUUUGUUAGCAAAUUACAAUGCACAUGUGAAGCAUGAUCAAGGAUUAAAAUGAAUCUCAGAAGCAGAUUGACUGCAGCAAAGACACGAGCUGCAACAAGGCAGCAUUGCAAAUUCAGAAUUAUCAGAACAGAUGCUGCAGAAACAGACAACAUUACAGGCAUCAGAAAACAGGAUGCUGUGAAGCUUGCGUUUCAGAGUUAUGCUUGGUGACAGAACUGAUAACCACCAGUUGCAAGAACUAGAGAUUUUUCAUGGUGCUUACAUUUUGCUUUGAUGUGAUAUCAUGUUUAUGCUACGUGUCUAAAUGCAAAUGAUGCAUCUGUUGUUUGGACUCCAAAGUCAUGCUCCGUGGCCUCAAGUGGUUGAUUACAAAGCUCUCUUUACUUUUGACAGCUUGGUGACUGAACUGAUAACCACCAGUUGCAAGAACUAGAUAAUUUUCAUGGUGCUUACAUUUUGCUUUAUGUGGUGCAGCAAUGGAGAACUUGUUGGCGUGAAUUGGUGGAAAACUACUAUGGUAUAAUAUCAAGCUACAAAUGCCAAUGUUUUAAUUUUCAAAACGAAACUCUAAAACUUCUUCCUUUACUAGCCAAAAUUAUCUAAUUUCUUAGAAAUCUGCGGUAUAAAUCUGUAGCAAGUUACUCUACUAUCCUGUGACGAGCUCACAUCAGUGGCAGAUCCACUAUGGGUUCAUUGAGUUUAGUUGAACCCAUAGUGGAUCUGCAAAAAAUCCUGUUUUCUGGAGUAUAAAAUCCAGUUAAAAGGUAUAUCCUACGGCAAUGUGAACAAUAACGUCUUCUGUCAGGUUGGUCCAUGUCAAUCAGAAGGUAAUAUGACAUCAUAUAGCGGGGUUCAAAUCCCGUGCCUGCUUUGAUGGCUCUUCGUUUUCGUUUUUCGCACUUUAUUCUUCUCCUUAAUUUGAUGCUUUGCUUUGUUGGCUUCAUAUAGAGUAAUUCUUUCCCUUUUUUUAUUUAAUAUAAUUUCCUUUUCUAACCCUCUUUUUUCUUGCUCAUGUCAAUACUAAUUCCAUAUUGCAGUUGUUAAUUGUGAUAUUUUCUUGUUUUUAAUAUAUAUGUUAUAUGUAUGCGACAAGCACUCAUCUUAUUCAUCUUAAGAAAAUUCUAAAAAAGGUUGGUUGUUUAUGUACUCCUAUUUUUUCUUUUGUAAAAUAAGUUAAAGACUUUUACAACUUUGAAUUUUCGAAUAUUCGUAAUAAAUUUGAACUAAUAUAUGAAUAUUAUUUUGUGUAUAAUUUAUGAGCGUGUUAUAUUCAAAGCAUUCGAACCCAUACGGUGAAAAUCCUGGAUACGCCACUAGCUCACAUAUACUGAACCUACCACUGAAAAAUCAAACACUAAGAAAUACUUCCUCCACUUUUUAUUACUUGCAACGUUUUGGAUGUUCCACUAUUCUUGCACUUACUUUGACCGGAAAUUUGUGUGUACUAUACAAUACAAAUUUUAGCAUUAGUCUUGUUGGAUUUAUCUCAAUAUACAUUAAUAAGAUUUCAAAUUUUUAUAAUUUUCAUAAAUAUAAUUAGAGAUUAAUGGUCAAAGUUGCAUAUCAACAAUCGUGGAAGUCAAAACGUUGCAAGUAAAAAGACGGAGGAAGUAUAACCCAAGUUCGGCCUCAAUGCAGUUUUAUCACUUUAUGCAAGCAAGUUAGUGGAGGGGUGGCAGUCGACUGGUGGUGCUAGGGAGACAAUGGAAUAAGCGUGAGGCGGUGGCAUUGGGGAGGGUUGGGUUGGUGGGAAGAGGAUAGUGCAUGGACUGAUGGCAGUAGUUAGUACUCAUUUGUUGUUGAUGGGUGUGGGAAAGAAGAGAAUAGAGAAGAAAAUAGUUAUUUGUUAAAACAAGUGAACUCAGAGUCUCAGACCAAUGUGGAAGAGAAUUUCAUGAACUUGCUAUUAAUCAUAAAAAUAUCUAACUUGGAUUUUGGGGAGAAACUUGAGGCUUAUGAUCUCCAAUUUUCAUCUAUAUAAUGGUUCAUAUGUUUGAGCAAAGUGGUAGCUCUCUCUUUAUGGUUCAUAGUCUAUUUCUGAUCCUUUCAUUUUAACCACACCUUAUUUGGUUUGAGUUUCUAGUUUUCGAUUUUGAGAUUUUAAACUAAUAUAUAGGUUGUGUAAUAUGAACUUAAGUUAGUCGUACUUUGUCAUAUUUAUUUUCGGAAAUUAACACCUAGAAAACUGAAAUACUUUCUAUAUUUUUGCUUUUGGGGGGGGGGAAAACAAAAAUUCAAAAUCAAAAUGAACCGACCUUAAGAUGUCGGAAAGUGAAAUUUUUGGAACUUGGUUUGCGCAUUUAUGUUUGGAAGCUUUAGUAUAACCCACUAGUGCUGUUUCGAAAUAUUUGGUAGGCUUGCUUCAACUCAACCAGUUUAUGUAUAAAACCUAGACAAUUCAGGUGUGAUGUGGGACCUUCCACUAACAUUCUCUUACAAACGGUUUCUUUCUUCUUACUUUUAUGUACUCUCUACAAUAAAGUCUAAGCCACCCCGCUAAAACUCUUAGUAUGUGUGUCCAAGCCGUAAAAGAUUUUUUCUUUUGAGCAUGCUAUAUAUUUUGUGAUGGUGGUGCUAUACUUUGGAGUUUGGAGAUGUAUCUGUCAUUCAUGCUCAUCCCCAAGAUUAGCCGCUGUAAUGCAAGUUCUGUGUAUCUUUCUUAAUCUGAUCUUAUCUGAAGUAAUGUGACUGUUGGCUGUUGCUUUUCAAUUUAUGCAUCUCUUGAGAUUGAGAAGUAAGGAUAAAGGCACCACACAAUUCAACAUGAGCAAAGUUUAUGGUUGCAUGAAAAAAUUCGGAAUUUUGUGAGAAGGUCAGAUGAUUCUUGCUUGUAUCUGAACUCCAACCUGUCUUAUUGGUGGAUCAUGAAAUUGGGCUUAUCAUUCGUGGCAUGGAUGUGGGAUCGGAUCCUCUCUCCCCUUGCCUUUUUCACAGAGGCAGAGGGUUUUAUUGCUGUUAUCCAGAAUCAUUUGACAGGAAUCUUUGGACAGUGUCCAGAUUCCAGGGUCCUCAUUUCUCAUAUAAAUACUAUGAUAAGCUUAUGCCUUACUCUUGCUACCAUUGAAGAGAGUCGGGUUAUUAUGACAGUUCUGUAAGCAUAUAAGUAAUGCCACUGGAAAAGUAUUAACGUCUGCCAAAGCUCUGACACUCUUAGUGCAACCUAUUACAAUGGAAAAACUUAUGGACUUCCCUUCAUAACUCCUUUUUGCUUAAGGGAGAAAGCUUGGAAGAUGCUGAGAAGGAGAAGUUACUUCUGGUUUCUGUUAGGGGAAGGAGGCAUGUGGCUCUUGGUUUGGCUUUUGCAAUGAACAAGUGAAAGCGAUAAAUAUUUUCUCUGAGUUAGGGUUUGGAUGUAGGUUGGUGUAAGAUCGGUAUGCAGUGUGCUGGUGCAGGAGUGUAAUAGAGUUUCAUUGGGGUCUCUAACUAGGCAGGGUUGUAGAUUCCUUGAAAAAUUUAUUUUAAAGGUGAGAUUUACUUUUGUUGAAAAAUCGGAAAUUGGAUCAAGUGCUAUCUUUAAUUGAAGGAGAUAUUAUGGUUCGUAUUCUGUCGCUGAGAGAGGUUCACAGUAUUGAGGAUAUUGAAUAGUCAUUAUGUUGCUCAAUAAGUAGGUUGUAGUUCUUUCACUUCAAAUUUUGUCUCUCCCAAGUUACUAAGAUGUUCACAUGCUGAGUUUGCCAUGUUUUUUUUGAGAUGUUAUGCCAGGUUGCUGUUUAUGGAUAAAAUAAUCUGAGGCUAUUUUGCUUUUGCCUCUUCCAGUUUCUUAUUGUAGUGGAUGAGAUUAUGAAGACGGGGGACAAUGUGAAUAUUCGCGACCAGCCGACCAGGGGUGGCACUCGAUGCUCUUAACCACCUUGGUACCUCAAUCAUGCAAGAAUAUCUUCCUGAGGAGUAUGUCAGCUCGACAUCAUCUCCAGUGCUCAUAUCUCCACUUGGAGACUUGGUAAAGAUUGUGUUAUUCAACAAAAUAUAUUGUGAAAGAGUUGGGAAAUACAACUUUUUUGUUGUUCUGAUAUCACAGGAAUGGCACCGUAUGGUACAGUUGAUGGCCAAAGUAAUGCUGGAGUAAUGUUUAGAGAAAGUGCUUGAAACAGACUAUUGAACGUAAAUGCCUCAGUGUACAUACACCUAAGUUUAUUUUUUGCUAAUAUAUAGAGAGCUUCAAAUGAGCAAAUAAAAUAAUGUUAACGGUCCGUUUGGUAGUCGUUAAUAAAUUGUGGUAAUGAGAAUGAAUUUCAAGUGUAAUUUUAUUAGGGAAGCAUCCUUAAAAUCUCUAUAAGGAGGUAUUUUUUCUCUA
Beta vulgaris subsp. vulgaris (sugar beet) is the source of this 4653-nucleotide long non-coding RNA. RefSeq lists it as uncharacterized. The record is from RefSeq and is a predicted model, not a curated record. NCBI's taxonomy places the organism in Eukaryota, Viridiplantae, Streptophyta, Magnoliopsida, Caryophyllales, Amaranthaceae. The transcript has 4 exons.